CCGAGCGGUAUUCUGGAUUUAUUCAGGAGAGAGCGGCGUACGGGUGCGUAACACGUGUGCAACCUACCUUUAUCAGGGGGAUAGCCUUUCGAAAGGGAGAUUAAUACUCCAUAAUAUAUUAAAUGGCAUCAUUUGAUAUUGAAAACUCCGGUGGAUAGAGAUGGGCACGCGCAAGAUUAGAUAGUUGGUGAGGUAACGGCUCACCAAGUCAAUGAUCUUUAGGGGUCCUGAGAGGGAGAUCCCCCACACUGGUACUGAGACACGGACCAGACUCCUACGGGAGGCAGCAGUGAGGAAUAUUGGACAAUGGGUGAGAGCCUGAUCCAGCCAUCCCGCGUGAAGGAUGACGGUCCUAUGGAUUGUAAACUUCUUUUGUACAGGGAUAAACCCAGAUACGUGUAUCUGGCUGAAGGUACUGUACGAAUAAGCACCGGCUAACUCCGUGCCAGCAGCCGCGGUAAUACGGAGGGUGCAAGCGUUAUCCGGAUUUAUUAGGUUUAAAGGGUCCGUAGGCGGACCGAUAGGUCAGUGGUGAAAUCUCAUAGCUUAACUAUGAAACUGCCAUUGAUACUGUCGGUCUUGAGUAAAUUUGAAGUGGCUGGAAUAAGUAGUGUAGCGGUGAAAUGCAUAGAUAUUACUUAGAACACCAAUUGCGAAGGCAGGUCACUAAGAUUUAACUGACGCUGAGGGACGAAAGCGUGGGUAGCGAACAGGAUUAGAUACCCUGGUAGUCCACGCCGUAAACGAUGCUAACUCGUUUUUGGGGCGCAAGCUUCAGAGACCAAGCGAAAGUGAUAAGUUAGCCACCUGGGGAGUACGUUCGCAAGAAUGAAACUCAAAGGAAUUGACGGGGGCCCGCACAAGCGGUGGAUUAUGUGGUUUAAUUCGAUGAUACGCGAGGAACCUUACCAAGACUU
This 917-nucleotide ribosomal RNA is filed under the name uncultured bacterium. RNAcentral describes it as "bacterial SSU rRNA". It matches the Rfam family "Bacterial small subunit ribosomal RNA", at positions 62 to 982 of the family's 1533-position model. The record is from RNAcentral.